GGCGGUGUAGCUCAGUGGUAGAGCAGGGGAAUCAUAAUCCCAAGGUCGGAAGUUCGAUCCUUCCCACCGCCACCA
RNAcentral lists this transfer RNA (75 nucleotides) under Acidobacteriota bacterium. Its description in RNAcentral is "Acidobacteria bacterium tRNA-Met". It matches the Rfam family "tRNA". Rfam says of the family: Transfer RNA (tRNA) molecules are approximately 80 nucleotides in length. Lineage: Bacteria; Pseudomonadati; Acidobacteriota. The record is from RNAcentral.